UGACUACCUGUGAUAAUACAUCAUUGUUC
RNAcentral lists this small RNA (29 nucleotides) under Bombyx mori (domestic silkworm). RNAcentral describes it as "ovarian small RNA-31871". The record is from RNAcentral. Lineage: Eukaryota; Metazoa; Arthropoda; Insecta; Lepidoptera; Bombycidae.